This 465-nucleotide ribosomal RNA is filed under the name Vreelandella stevensii. RNAcentral describes it as "partial 16S ribosomal RNA". It matches the Rfam family "Bacterial small subunit ribosomal RNA", at positions 338 to 795 of the family's 1533-position model. The record is from RNAcentral. Lineage: Bacteria; Pseudomonadati; Pseudomonadota; Gammaproteobacteria; Oceanospirillales; Halomonadaceae.
CCUACGGGAGGCUGCAGUGGGGAAUAUUGGACAAUGGGGGGAACCCUGAUCCAGCCAUGCCGCGUGUGUGAAGAAGGCCCUCGGGUUGUAAAGCACUUUCAGUGAGGAAGAACGCCUGGUGGUUAAUACCCAUCAGGAAAGACAUCACUCACAGAAGAAGCACCGGCUAACUCCGUGCCAGCAGCCGCGGUAAUACGGAGGGUGCGAGCGUUAAUCGGAAUUACUGGGCGUAAAGCGCGCGUAGGUGGCUUGAUAAGCCGGUUGUGAAAGCCCCGGGCUCAACCUGGGAACGGCAUCCGGAACUGUCAAGCUAGAGUGCAGGAGAGGAAGGUAGAAUUCCCGGUGUAGCGGUGAAAUGCGUAGAUAUCGGGAGGAAUACCAGUGGCGAAGGCGGCCUUCUGGACUGACACUGACACUGAGGUGCGAAAGCGUGGGUAGCAAACAGGAUUAGAUACCCUGGUAGUC